This 1306-nucleotide ribosomal RNA is filed under the name uncultured bacterium. Its description in RNAcentral is "bacterial SSU rRNA". It matches the Rfam family "Bacterial small subunit ribosomal RNA", at positions 28 to 1381 of the family's 1533-position model. The record is from RNAcentral.
GAUGAACGCUGGCGGUAUGCUUAACACAUGCAAGUCGAACGAAAGUUUUUUAACUUUAGUGGCGAACGGGUGAGUAAUACGUGAGAAUCUGCCCUUAGGAGAAGAAUAACUGCUGGAAACGGCUGCUAAUACUUCAUAUGCCGAGAGGUAAAAAAGUUUUAACUGCCUAAGAGAUGAGCUCACGCCUGAUUAGCUUGUUGGUAAGGUAAUGGCUUACCAAGGCCACGAUCAGUAGCUGGUUUGAGAGAACGAUCAGCCACACUGGGACUGAGACACGGCCCAGACUCCUCCGGGAGGCAGCAGUGAGGAAUUUUCCGCAAUGGGCGAAAGCCUGACGGAGCAAUACCGCGUGAGGGAUGAAGGAUUUUGGUCUGUAAACCUCUUUUCUCAAGAAAGAAGUUCUGACGGUACUUGAGGAAUAAGCAUCGGCUAACUCCGUGCCAGCAGCCGCGGUAAUACGGGGGAUGCAAGCGUUAUCCGGAAUCAUUGGGCGUAAAGCGCCUGUAGGUUGUUUAUUAAGUCUGUUGUUAAAGCCUAGGGCUUAACCCUAGAGAAGCAGUGGAAACUGGUAGACUAGAGUAUGGCAGGGGUAGAGGGAAUUUCUAGUGUAGCGGUGAAAUGCGUAGAUAUUAGAAAGAACACCAGCGGCGAAGGCGCUCUACUGGACCAUCACUGACACUCAGAGGCGAAAGCUAGGGUAGCAAAAGGGAUUAGAUACCCCUGUAGUCCUAGCCGUAAACGAUGGAUACUAGAUGUUGUGUUUAUUUCACAGUGUCGCAGCUAACGCGUUAAGUAUCCCGCCUGGGGAGUACGCUCGCAAGGGUGAAACUCAAAGGAAUUGACGGGGGCCCGCACAAGCGGUGGAGCAUGUGGUUUAAUUCGAUGCAACGCGAAGAACCUUACCAGGGCUUGACAUACUACAGAUCUUUUUGAGAAAGAAGAGUGCCUUCGGGAAUGUAGAUACAGGUGGUGCAUGGCUGUCGUCAGCUCGUGUCGUGAGAUGUUGGGUUAAGUCCCGCAACGAGCGCAACCCUUAUUUUUAGUUACCAACUUGUUGGGUUCUCUAGAAAGACUGCCGGUGACAAACCGGAGGAAGGUGAGGAUGACGUCAAGUCAGCAUGCCCCUUAUGUCCUGGGCUACACACGUGCUACAAUGGCUAAGACAAAGAGUCGCGAGUUCGUGAGAACCAGCUAAUCUCGUAAACUUAGCCCAAGUUCAGAUUGUAGGCUGCAACUCGCCUACAUGAAGUUGGAAUCGCUAGUAAUCGCUGGUCAGCUAUACAGCGGUGAAUCCGUUCCCGGGCCU